This 371-nucleotide unclassified non-coding RNA is filed under the name uncultured bacterium. RNAcentral describes it as "contains 16S-23S intergenic spacer region". The record is from RNAcentral.
UCCGAUUUGUCACCGGCAGUCUCCUAUGAGUCCCCGUCUUUCACGCUGGCAACAUAGGACAGGGGUUGCGCUCGUUGCGGGACUUAACCCAACAUCUCACGACACGGGCUGACGACAGCCAUGCACCACCUGUGCACCGGCCCCGAAGGGCUGCCGUAUUUCUACUUGAGGCAUGUCAAGCCUAGGUGAGGUUCUUCGCGUUGCAUCGAAUUAAACCACACGCUCCGCUGCUUGUGCGGGCCCCCGUCAAUUCCUUUGAGUUUCAACCUUGCGGUCGUACUCCCCAGGCGGGGUACUUCCUGCGUUAGCGCCGGCACCCAGAGGGUCGCUCCCCCAGGCACCUAGUACCCAUCGUUUACGGCGUGGACUAC